GGCAGCGAGGCGGCGAAAACGUCUGAACCACGAAGAGGGAGCGAUGAACGCGAGGAACAACGGGCAAUCUCCGCCGAGCAGUCUCCGGUGGUGGUCAAGGAAGAAGGGGUGGCCGAGUGGUGUCUCUGAUCUCUGGGGGUGGGUGAGGAGGGGGAAGGGUAGAGUGCAGCACCUACAAGAGGCUGAAAUGUGAAA
This is a non-coding RNA of Arachis ipaensis, 195 nucleotides long. Lineage: Eukaryota; Viridiplantae; Streptophyta; Magnoliopsida; Fabales; Fabaceae. The record is from RefSeq and is a predicted model, not a curated record.